Molecule: long non-coding RNA, 980 nt
Organism: Ostrea edulis (European flat oyster)
Lineage: Eukaryota; Metazoa; Mollusca; Bivalvia; Ostreida; Ostreidae
Exons: 4
Source: RefSeq, a predicted model, not a curated record
UUGUUACGACAGGGACACAAUUACAAAGGCUGAGACUGGAAUUUGUCCGUGAAGCAGACAUUAUUCAUGAUGUGUUUUUCAAGGCAUAAACAGGGACCACAUAAUGCAACGAAUCUGUAGUGUAUUCAUCCUUCAAGUAGUUCUCUUAUGGACAUUUCAUUGUCAUUGGACAUUGAGCUCCACUUUUCGAAUUGUUCCCGUGGAAGUUUGCCCAGAAAAUGAACCAGAUGUCAAAGAGGCCUCUGAGAAACUUAAUUGUUGCUUUGGUUUCCACGGGGCUAAAAAUAAGUAUCACUGUGCCCCCUUCUCAAACUUCACACAGCUUCUCGAGUUUUGUUGUCCGAAAACAAGUGGAUUAAUAGAAAAAGGACCUUGAGGGAUACACUCUGGAUGAUCGGAAUUGCCAUCGUCUUAAGAAUGGCUGUUCAGACACACAUUAUACUUCUGAGACAAUGUACACAUGAUGUUUCUCUCAUGUCGGGACGUCACCAGCUUCAGUUCCACAAAUUUCGACCUGUAUGUGACAUCAUGGAUUUUAGAAGUGAGGGUUUCCAGUUAUCUUCAACAAGGUUGUGUAGUCUAAAGCAGGUCUCGAUAAUUCUUGAACACUUCAGAAGAGAAAAAGGUAGACAACCACCUGUUUGAUGCAAGCACCUUUGAAUAGGAAAAAUUUACCAAACUGUUUUACACAAAAUGUAUUAUAGCAUCAUGAUUUUUCAAGUAUACAAUCUAAUGCACUUUGUAUUAUUUGAUAGAACUAUGUCAUUUAUCAAUGAACUGCAUUAAAUUCGACAUAAUUUCAGUAAAUGUCAAUGGCAGAUCCACAAUGUCCACACACAAAGGGGGGGGGGGGUACAUGUGAAAGUCAAGUAUUGGCCAAAAUACUCGGCCAUUUUGUGUACCACAUCUAUAGUGUCAAUCACAUUAUUUCUGUUUUUAAAUUCAGAUUUUUAUUCAUAUUGUGUAUAAAUAUAGAUCGA